CUCCGGUGCUCUCCUUUGGCCUAUAUGACCCUCGUGACCUAAAAAUCUCGGGGACAGAAGAUUUUUCGCAGUUCCACCGAUGCUUGAUAACCCACAAGUGUAUGGGAUCGCAACAGUCUUCGCGGGUAAGUUAACCCAAUUUAUUGAUUCGACACAAGGGGAGCCAAAGAAUAUUUAUAAGCUUUAACAGUUGAGUUGUCAAUUCAACCGCACCUGGAAGAUAUUUGCUUGGCAACGAAAUAUUAGUGGCAACGAUGAUA
RNAcentral lists this long non-coding RNA (260 nucleotides) under Hordeum vulgare. RNAcentral's name for it is "long non-coding RNA (HVUL_LNC010686)". Lineage: Eukaryota; Viridiplantae; Streptophyta; Magnoliopsida; Poales; Poaceae. The record is from RNAcentral.